RNAcentral lists this ribosomal RNA (253 nucleotides) under uncultured bacterium. RNAcentral describes it as "partial 16S ribosomal RNA". It matches the Rfam family "Bacterial small subunit ribosomal RNA", at positions 524 to 776 of the family's 1533-position model. The record is from RNAcentral.
UACGUAGGGUGCGAGCGUUGCCCGGAUUUAUUGGGCGUAAAGGGCGCGUAGGCGGCUCGGCACGUCCGUUGUGAAAUCGCCCGGCUCAACUGGGCGGGGGCAGCGGAUACGGUCGAGCUUGAGCAAGCUAGGGGGCAAUGGAAUUCCCGGUGUAGUGGUGGAAUGCGUAGAUAUCCGGAGGAACACCGGUGGCGAAGGCGGUGGUCUGGGCCGGCACUGACGCUGAGGAGCGAAAGCGUGGGGAGCAAACAGG